RNAcentral lists this ribosomal RNA (445 nucleotides) under uncultured bacterium. RNAcentral describes it as "partial 16S ribosomal RNA". It matches the Rfam family "Bacterial small subunit ribosomal RNA", at positions 354 to 796 of the family's 1533-position model. The record is from RNAcentral.
GUGAGGAAUAUUGCGCAAUGGAGGCAACUCUGACGCAGCCAUGCCGCGUGCAGGAAGAAGGCGCUACGCGUUGUAAACUGCUUUUAACCGGGAAGAAACCCCAGGACGUGUCCUGGGUUGACGGUACCGGAGGAAUAAGCACCGGCUAACUUCGUGCCAGCAGCCGCGGUAAUACGAAGGGUGCAAGCGUUAUCCGGAUUCAUGGGGUUUAAAGGGUGCGUAGGCGGAGCGUUAAGUCAGUGGUGAAAUCCUGCAGCUUAACUGUAGACUUGCCAGUGAUACUGGCGCUCUUGAGUGCGCUUGAAGUGGGCGGAAUGUGCCGUGUAGCGGUGAAAUGCUUAGAUAUGGCACAGAACACCAAUUGCGAAGGCAGCUCACUAAGGCGAUACUGACGCUGAGGCACGAAAGCGUGGGGAUCGAACAGGAUUAGAAACCCCGGUAGUCC